This 252-nucleotide ribosomal RNA is filed under the name uncultured bacterium. RNAcentral describes it as "partial 16S ribosomal RNA". It matches the Rfam family "Bacterial small subunit ribosomal RNA", at positions 524 to 776 of the family's 1533-position model. The record is from RNAcentral.
UACGUAGGUCCCGAGCAUUGUCCGGAUUUAUUGGGCGUAAAGCGAGCGCAGGUGGUUUAUUAAGUCUGGUGUAAAAGGCAGUGGCUCAACCAUUGUAUGCAUUGGAAACUGGUAGACUUGAGUGCAGGAGAGGAGAGUGGAAUUCCAUGUGUAGCGGUGAAAUGCGUAGAUAUAUAGAGGAACACCGGUGGCGAAAGCGGCUCUCUGGCCUGUAACUGACACUGAGGCUCGGAAGCGUGGGGAGCAAACAGG